This 497-nucleotide ribosomal RNA is filed under the name uncultured bacterium. RNAcentral's name for it is "partial 16S ribosomal RNA". It matches the Rfam family "Bacterial small subunit ribosomal RNA", at positions 28 to 507 of the family's 1533-position model. The record is from RNAcentral.
GAUGAACGCUGGCGGCGUGCCCAAUACAUGCAAGUCGAGCGAACGGACGAGAAGCUUGCUUCUCUGAUGUUAGCGGCGGACGGGUGAGUAACACGUGGAUAACCUACCUAUAAGACUGGGAUAACUUCGGGAAACCGGAGCUAAUACCGGAUAAUAUUUUGAACCGCAUGGUUCAAAAGUGAAAGACGGUCUUGCUGUCACUUAUAGAUGGAUCCGCGCUGCAUUAGCUAGUUGGUAAGGUAACGGCUUACCAAGGCAACGAUGCAUAGCCGACCUGAGAGGGUGAUCGGACACACUGGAACUGAGACACGGUCCAGACUCCUACGGGAGGCAGCAGUAGGGAAUCUUCCGCAAUGGGCGAAAGCCUGACGGAGCAACGCCGCGUGAGUGAUGAAGGUCUUCGGAUCGUAAAACUCUGUUAUUAGGGAAGAACAUAUGUGUAAGUAACUGUGCACAUCUUGACGGUACCUAAUCAGAAAGCCACGGCUAACUACGUG